This is a long non-coding RNA of Oreochromis niloticus (Nile tilapia), 2342 nucleotides long. Lineage: Eukaryota; Metazoa; Chordata; Actinopteri; Cichliformes; Cichlidae. The record is from Ensembl.
AUGUGGUUUGUCCUCUUAAUGACUGUCCGAAAUGCUGCUGUUCACUGUCUUUGUGAGCAGAUGAACAUUUCCAGACAUCAGGAUUUGUUUGCAGUGACCAGUUGCACCUGUCCUUUCACCUGUAAUAGUUUAAACUCACCUUUGUGCUUUUUUCAGAUGUUCCUGUGGAAACACAGUAUGCUGAUGUCACAGAGGCUACAGACAACUCAAACAAACCCACCCAUAGUGCACUGAGUUUUCUUAACAAGGCCCGUGUCUCUCCCAAGAACGCCUCCUGUAGUAACACCGAUGAAGUUGUCUCCUCCGUGUCUCGAGUACGUAGGAUGCCAGAGAUCAUCUGCUGUCCUUAACUGCAGGUCAUCUUCACUGUUGCUGCCACGACUCUCUAAAUAGAUUAAAUGAAGCUGCUUUCAGCGUCUGUGUAAAUGUUCUGGAAAAGAUUCAGAUUGUAUAAUUAAUAAUAAAUAUUUGUCUGUUUUUUUAGAAAGUGCACUUUAAGAACUUUACUCCAGUUUCUACAUGUAAAGCCUCAAACUACCAGAACCUUAAUGGAGCCACCAGAGACCUGGACCAAAUCUACUCCACACUCACAAAUCACUGACCAGACUCUCCAGAUUCAGAGCUGAACAUGAACAUCAAAAAGACAAUAAAAAUCAAAUAAAAUUAAUAUUUCUAUUCUGUGUUAAAGGCCAAGCCAAAAAAAGAUGACCUCUAAAAAGAUGACGCAGUGAGUCAGACUAGCGUCCAGUCAUAAAGCUGGCCAAGCUAGUUUUUGCACAUUUGUGAAGAAUUCAUGUAGCUGUCAUAUUAGCAGACAUAUUGGGGUUUGUUUUUCCUAGAUGAUCCCAGACUGUACAGGAAUUUAAACAAUGAUCAGAAACAUGAAAUUAAUGAGUCACCUUUCAAGGUAGCAAAACAAAAUCAUUUAAAAGUACAGAGAAGAUUGUGGUGCUGAAACUUUCUGAAGUCCAAUACAUUUUAUGGGUGGUUGAUCUUCUGAAAAACUCCUUUUACUAAACAUCAAGUAGGAUUAGAAACAACUUUAGAACUUAAUAACUUAAGUUACUUACUCAAUAAAAAGACUCUCCCUACAUCUACAGCUGUAGAUGUCUAAGGGAGGAGUGUCGAGAUUAAAUGAAUCAAACAUAAUGUUCAACCACUCACAAAGAUCCAAGUCAAUAACUGUACAUCCUAAUCAGCAAAACAAGCAGUUUUUUUGUAAAACAAUAAACUGUCAUUUACAAAUACUCGCCUCCAGAGUCGGAACAGAAGUAUGAAGGCUUGUGAAUAUGCUCUCCCAUUUUCCUGGAAUAAUGUACAGGAGCCGACACUGUGAGGUUCCUCUGACGGAGUUUAACAGCAGGAACAUGAAUAAAGGAAUUUCUUGUCUUUGUCAGUGUGACUGCUUUUGCUCUCGUUCUUGAUAUGUUAUUGAAUAGAAUCUGGAUGUUGUGUUCAUUUGUUUGCGUGUUGCUGAAUUUGUUUCUUCACUUGUGUUUUUAUUUGUUGUCAAAGAGAUUUUAAUCUGAAUGAGAUGCUUUAGCAGGACAAAUAAAGAAUUGAUGUUAUCCAGGUAGUUUAGCCACAACAUGAUAUUUAUGAUGAUAUAACAAUGAAAUCAUAUCUGUAGAACUGUAUUAUGCUUUAUGUUACUAAUCUGCCUGUUUCUAGAUCACUAAUAUUUUCAUGGGGAGCUUCCCUGUUGCUGUGAUGGGACCGAUCCUGCUGAUCCUGGGUCUCAAAUGUAAAUGAGCUCUCCUCUCAUUGGACGGCCACGUUAGUGUUCAAGUAGGACAAGACAAACAAAAAAACAAGAAAACACCCACUAAUAUUUCAGAAAAUUUGGUGUUUUAUUUUUUUUCAUUUCAAAUAUUGUAUAACAAGACAAAACUGCAAACUUCACAUUUUUCUCUCACUCAUAACUGAAAUCUUUCACUGAGCUACCAAAUAAACACAUCGCUCCUCUCUUUCUGUCCAGACACGUGGCAGCACUCCUGCUGCAAUUUUGUUCAUAUGUAACAAAAUAAAAAAGUGUUCACAUGAGUUUGUGACUCUCACUGAACUAAACUCAGCAUGUUUGUGCUCUCUGCUCAUAUUAAAACAUUUUUGGCUUUUUAUAGAACUUAUUUUAACAUUUCACUCAAAAACGAACAAAAAAGUCACUUCGGGGGCCAAACUGUGUUAUAUUUCAUCAGGUCAAUAUCUGGGCUGCCAGUGUUUGAGCUCCCUGCUCUGAGGGGAACUCAGAAACAUUUUUUUCCCUCAUAAUCGUGUAAAAGGAACUUUGAUGCUUCUGCUAUUUUCAUUUCAUCUGAAACCCACACUGAGCUUCAACACCAUGG